GAUGAACGCUGGCGGCGUGCUUAACACAUGCAAGUCGAACGAUGAAGCCCAGCUUGCUGGGUGGGUUAGUGGCGAACGGGUGAGUAACACGUGAGUAACCUGCCCUUGACUCUGGGAUAAGCGCUGGAAACGGCGUCUAAUACCGGAUACGAGCUUCCACCGCAUGGUGAGUUGCUGGAAAGAAUUUCGGUCAAGGAUGGACUCGCGGCCUAUCAGGUUAUUGGUGAGGUAACGGCUCACCAAGCCGACGACGGGUAGCCGGCCUGGGAGGGUGACCGGCCACACUGGGACUGAGACACGGCCCAGACUCCUACGGGGGGCAGCAGUGGGGAAUAUUGCACAAUGGGCGCAAGCCUGAUGCAGCAACGCCGCGUGAGGGACGAAGGCCUUCGGGUAGUAAACCUCUUUUAGCAGGGAAGAAGCGAAAGUGACGGUACCUGCAGAAAAAGCACCGGCUAACUACGUG
Molecule: ribosomal RNA, 466 nt
Filed under: uncultured bacterium
Lineage: Bacteria
Description: partial 16S ribosomal RNA
Rfam family: Bacterial small subunit ribosomal RNA
Source: RNAcentral